CGCGUAGAACUGGAAUGAACACGGUUUGCACACGUGGAUACCUCAAAAUGGAACAAACAUCCCCGGUGAGAUUCCGCCGGCAGGAUGUCGAGCUGAGGUAUUCCUGGGGGUUCAGCCGGUACGUGUCGACCAUGAAAUUACGGACUCGACGGUUCAGUCCGUGUGGGCCACUCACACUUCCGGUGAUUUGGACUUGUUCUUUCCGUUGAAGAAUUCAGGGAGGGCGCGCUUCUCGAUUGAGUGGAUGCUGACAAAAAGAAAUAACGCGAGUGGGGUCCUCCAUUUCUUUGGUCAAGUCCUCCUCUGGCUCCUCCUCCUGCUGUCCACGUCGCCGCCUUCAUCUUCAGAGGACAAGGGAGAAGGAGAGCGUCGUCUCUUUUUGAAGGGGGUGGACUUCACAUCCUGACACAGAUGAGGUGAAUUGUCAAGACACCUUAUUAUUUUUCCCUCAAGAAAUAUUCUUAUAAUAUUAAUAACAGACCUGGU
Molecule: long non-coding RNA, 486 nt
Organism: Hippocampus zosterae (dwarf seahorse)
Lineage: Eukaryota; Metazoa; Chordata; Actinopteri; Syngnathiformes; Syngnathidae
Exons: 4
Source: RefSeq, a predicted model, not a curated record